CGUAAUAGCUCACUGGUCGAGUGACUCUGCGCCGAAAAUGUACCGGGGCUAAACGUAUCACCGAAGCUAUGGCUUGUCCUUAUGGACAGGGGUAGGGGAGCGUUCCAAGGGCUGCGAAGCAUGACCGGAAGGACAUGUGGAGCGCUUGGAAGUGAGAAUGCCAGUAUGAGUAGCGAAAAGAGGGGUGAGAAUCCCCUCCGUCGAAAGCCUAAGGUUUCCAGAGGAAGGCUCGUCCGCUCAGGGUAAGUCGGGACCUAAGCCGAGGCCGAAAGGCGUAGGCGAUGGCAAACAGGUUGAAAUUCCUGUACCACCACGUCAC
Molecule: ribosomal RNA, 319 nt
Filed under: Pseudomonas sp. 2995-3
Lineage: Bacteria; Pseudomonadati; Pseudomonadota; Gammaproteobacteria; Pseudomonadales; Pseudomonadaceae
Description: bacterial LSU rRNA
Rfam family: Bacterial large subunit ribosomal RNA
Source: RNAcentral